UGGCAAGUAGCACAGUGGUAGUGCUCCCGGCUGUUAACCGGGCGGUCGCGGGUUCGAAUCCUGCCUUGCCAGCCA
Molecule: transfer RNA, 75 nt
Filed under: Pseudomonas putida
Lineage: Bacteria; Pseudomonadati; Pseudomonadota; Gammaproteobacteria; Pseudomonadales; Pseudomonadaceae
Description: tRNA-Asn
Rfam family: tRNA
About the family: Transfer RNA (tRNA) molecules are approximately 80 nucleotides in length.
Source: RNAcentral